GGAAGGAUCAUUAACAACCAAAAUUUUUUUUUAUUUUGUAGGAGGGGAGAAGAGGCUUUAAACACCUCUUUGAACUUUUUAAAAAUAGAAAAAAAAAUUUAUAUAAACACUUUGUUGGAAUAUUGGAGAGAAAGAGAGGUCAAAUGCUCUUUCAAUUUCUUUUUUUAUUUAUAAACGCAAAAAAAACAAAACAAAACAAUGAAAAAAACGAUACAUUUUGUAUAAUAACAAAAAAUAUCACUUUCUUUAAUGGAUGUCUUGGCUCUGACAACGAUGAAGACCGAAGCAAAAUUCGAUAAGUAAUGUGAAUUGCAGGAUUUCGUGAAUCAUCAAGUCGUUGAACGCACCUUGCACUAUUGUUAAAGCAAUAGUACUCGAGGAUCAGGGGAGGUUUAAACUUUCACAAAAGGUAACUUUUGAUGGAGAGAUGACUUUUGAGCAAGUUAAAUUGUUCAUUGGUUUGAAAUUGAAUAUAUAAUGAGAAAAAUAUAUUUUCAACAAACUUUUUUUCUUUUUAUUUUUCUUUUGUUAAAACAAGGAAAUCUUCAAAAAGGAGAAGAGGGGAAAAUAUAAGUUUUCAAACAAAAAAUUCAAUAACAUUCUCCCUGAUGUUUCGAGAGAUUACCCGCUGAAUUUAAGCAUAUUAAUAAGCGGAGGAAAAGAAAAUAACAAUGAUUUCCCUAGUAACGGCGAGUGAAGCGGAAAAAGCCCAAAUUUGAAAUCUUGAGGGGGUAAUGAACUCAAGAGUUGUAGUUUCAAGGUGGGGUGUGAAAGACGGCAGUGGGAUGGUGAAGUUUCGCUGGAAAGCAACGCCAGAGAGGGUGAUAGCCCCUUGAGCCAUUAACCAUUGUGUGUCGGAUUAUCAUACUCUGUCCAAAGAGUCGGGUUCCUUGGGAGUGGAGCCCAAAGUGUCGGGUAGAUCACCGAGAAGGCUAAAUAUAAGGUCAGAGACCGAUAGCAAACAAGUACUGUGAAGGAAAGAUGAAAAGAACUUUGAAAAGAGAGUGAAAUAGUGCCUGAAAUUAAAGAAAGGAAAAGGAAAGCACACUUGUAGAGGCAAACUGAUGCGGGUUUAAGGGUAGCGGCGGGUUGGGAACGUGGGUACGUGUAAUGAGCUGCAUAAGCCAGCGUGGUCUACGUGAAACCUAACUGUCCAUUAAGCGACCUGUAUACCUCCAUUGCAUUGCCUGGCAGCAUGAGAUCGCUUAGAAAAUUGGUCAGGAAGCCUAGCGGAAAGGUAGGUAUGGACUUGCUUCGGCGGGUCUGUACUGUUAUAGUCCGCGAGGAGAAAAUGAGCCAAGGCGGUCUGAGGAACAGAUAGGGAAAGCCACAUGUUGGCGAGCUGCAGUGAUCCGGGUUGUUGCUGUGUCAGGUGAACGGACUCGAAACGAGUGCGAGCGCUGCAAAUGGUAACGAUUUGGCUCUGGCUUCAUUUCCCCUGAGAUGCUGUAUUAAACAAUCGGGCAGGUGUGUUUUCACCCGUCUUGAAACACGGACCAAGGAGUCUAACGCAUAUGCGACUGUUUGAGUGUAAGAUAAACUCAAGCGGGGAUUGAAAGAAAACUUUUUUGGUGUGACACCUGGUGUUAAGAUACCUGGUAGCAACAUCGACCGACCAUGAUCUCUUGUGAAAGGUUUGAGUACAAGCAUAUUCGUCGGGACCCGAAAGAUGGUGAUCUAUGCUAGAAUAAGAUGAAGUCAAAGGAAACUUUGAUGGAGGUCUGUAGCCGUUCUGACGUGCAAAUCGAUGGUCAAAUUUUAGUAUAGGGGCGAAAGACUAAUCGAACCAUCUAGUAGCUGGUUCCCCC
RNAcentral lists this unclassified non-coding RNA (1808 nucleotides) under uncultured fungus. Its description in RNAcentral is "sequence contains 18S rRNA gene, ITS1, 5.8S rRNA gene, ITS2, 28S rRNA gene". The stretch from base 602 to 1808 matches the Rfam family "Eukaryotic large subunit ribosomal RNA", at positions 1 to 961 of the family's 3401-position model. Lineage: Eukaryota; Fungi. The record is from RNAcentral.